Long non-coding RNA from Schistocerca piceifrons (Central American locust), 330 nucleotides. RefSeq lists it as uncharacterized. The record is from RefSeq and is a predicted model, not a curated record. The transcript is spliced from 3 exons. Lineage: Eukaryota; Metazoa; Arthropoda; Insecta; Orthoptera; Acrididae.
CGGCGGGCGACGCGCCGCGACCCGCCGGCCGAGGACGUCGUCUCCGAAAAGCAGCCACCCUGGGUGCUUCCAAGCUGAUUCAGGUCAGCUAACGUGACACCCUGGGUUAGAGGCAGCGUCACGUCAUCAGAACUCAAUGCACGGCCACAGAGCCGGCAGCGCCGCACAGUGGUCGCUUGGCAACGCGGCGGGGCUCAACCAUGGGCACAUUGCGCAGAAUUGAGGGGUAAAGUUAAUCAUAAACCCCAUCUUGAAAAUUUUCUGCAAAGGGCAUUUUGGAUUUGAUAAGUAAAGUUCAGAAACCAGGAUCACUAAUAAAUUUUGUAUGAG